CAGAUCUUCCAGUCCCUGCCAGUUGACGUCCUCGUCCGUCAGGUUGGGCAAUUUAACCCUGUCGUCCGUCCCAUAGUGCGCUGAAGAAGAAAUCAGAAGACAUUUAAGAAUCCACACGACGCUUUUUUGUUGCAUUUUUGAUUAAGCUCCAGCGUCAUGCAUUCGGUUAAGCAGUGCAAACGCAUGCCGCCGAGCAGAAAAUCUUUCAGUGCCGCACUUGAAAAGUGAAAAGUAGGCGCCGACGGCAACCUGCAAUUCAAACCCAAACUAAAAAAGCUAAAGAAAUAAAAAUCAGCAAAUAAAGCAGCAGAAGCCAAGAUAGAAAGCAAAGUCAAAUUACAGCCUCCUGUAAAAAAAAGAAUAAACUAAUGACAGUGUAUGAUCUAUGUUUGUGUUGUCAUGAGACUGGACUGGUCGACUCACAGGAAGGAAAGGAUUGGUCUCCUCUUUGAGCGCUUUCGGUGCUGCUGUCGCCUGGUAAGCAGAGUUAAAGCUGCGAAAGAGGAUUUUUUCCAAAAGGACACAAGAAAACGGAGCGCUGCUACCAAACGGAAACUGCCAAGUCCACAAUUUUAAGGCAUUGAAGUGUCAAAGUGUUUUUGUCUGCCUCGACCUCAGCUUGGCAGCGUCCCCGCCGCAGCGGUCGCCACAAGACCUGGCGAAGGCUCAUCUCGGGCCCGUGCCAACCAAACAACCCCCCUUAGUCUCACUGCCUUUGCCAGCUUGGGCUUCACACUUCAGCCACAGACAGAGUGACGGCGGCAAACGAGCAGCUGAACAACCUGCGCUUUUUUGCGGCGGCAUGAUGCCAAAGGAAGCUCACCUGAAAGAAUGCAGCGGAUCAUCACGACAAACUCAACUGAACUCGCCCAGAAAGAACUCAGAACUUGUGCAACACAACAUGCCUCAGCAGCUGAACAUGAAAAGUGAAAGUAAAAAGUCCUCUUUCACUCCGUCACGUCAGCCACGCGCUGUGUUCAGGGUAAGACUCCGGGUGUCAUCCUCGACAGCACGCUCUCCUUCUGCUCCCAUAUCAACGACAUCACCAGAUUGGCC
Molecule: long non-coding RNA, 1056 nt
Organism: Corythoichthys intestinalis (scribbled pipefish)
Lineage: Eukaryota; Metazoa; Chordata; Actinopteri; Syngnathiformes; Syngnathidae
Exons: 6
Source: RefSeq, a predicted model, not a curated record